RNAcentral lists this ribosomal RNA (503 nucleotides) under uncultured Glomus. Its description in RNAcentral is "SSU rRNA". It matches the Rfam family "Eukaryotic small subunit ribosomal RNA", at positions 569 to 1074 of the family's 1831-position model. The record is from RNAcentral. Lineage: Eukaryota; Fungi; Glomeromycota; Glomeromycetes; Glomerales; Glomeraceae.
AGCAGCCGCGGUAAUCCCAGCUCCAAUAGCGUAUAUUAAAGUUGUUGCAGUUAAAAAGCUCGUAGUUGAAUUUCGGGAUCAGUACGCUGGUCGUGCCUUUGGUAUGUACUGGUGUCACUGAUUCCUCCCUUCUGAAGAACCGUUAUGCCAUUUAUUUGGUGUGGCGGGGAAUCAGGACUGUUACUUUGAAAAAAUUAGAGUGUUUAAAGCAGGCUCGCGCUUGAAUACAUUAGCAUGGAAUAAUGAAAUAGGACGUUUGAUCUUAUUUUGUUGGUUUCUAGGAUCGACGUAAUGAUUAAUAGGGAUAGUUGGGGGCAUUAGUAUUCAAUUGUCAGAGGUGAAAUUCUUGGAUUUAUUGAAGACUAACUACUGCGAAAGCAUUUGCCAAGGAUGUUUUCAUUAAUCAAGAACGAAAGUUAGGGGAUCGAAGACGAUCAGAUACCGUCGUAGUCUUAACCAUAAACUAUGCCGACUAGGGAUCGGAUGAUGUUAAUUUUUAAUGA